This 1262-nucleotide long non-coding RNA is filed under the name Chrysolophus pictus (golden pheasant). RNAcentral describes it as "lncRNA (ENSCPIG00010005673.1)". The record is from RNAcentral. Lineage: Eukaryota; Metazoa; Chordata; Aves; Galliformes; Phasianidae.
GUCUGUAUGGCUGUGUGUCCGUCUGUCCGUGGGCCCAUCUGUCCGUGUGUCCCAUGGCCAUGUGUCCAUCUGUCCAUCUGUCCGUCUGGCUGCGUGUCCGUACGGCUGUGUGUCCGUGUGUGUCUGUCUGUCCGUGUGUCCGUCUGUCCGUGUGCCCGCAUGGCCGUGUGUCUGUCUGCAUGGCCGCAUGUCCUCCUGUCCGUGUGCCCCCAUGUCCGUGUGUCCCAUGUCUGUGUGUCUGUCCUCCUGUCCGUGUGUCCCUACAUCCCCAUAUCCCAGUGUUUGUGUCCCUCUGUCCGUGUGUCCUCAUGUCCGUUUGUCCUCCUGUGUGUCCCUACAUCCCCAUAACCCGGUGUCCGUGUGUCCCCAUGGCCGUGUGUCCCCAUGUCCGUGUGUAUCCCCAUGUCCGUAUGGCCGUAUGUCCUCCUGUCCAUGUGUCCCCCUGUCUGUUUGUCCCCACGGCUGUUUGUCCCCGUGUCCCCAUGUCCGUGUGUCCGCAUGUCCGUGUGUCCUCCUGUCUGCGUGUCCCCGUGUCCAUGUGUCCCAUGUCCAUUUGUCCCAUGUCCGUGUGUCUCCGUGUUCACGUGUCCCCAUGUCCGUGUGCCCCCGUGUCCGUGUGUCCCAUGUCCAUGUGUCCUCCUGUCCGUGUGUCCCCAUGUCCGUGUGUCCCCGUGUCCGUGUGUCCCCGUGUCCGUGUGUCCCCACAUCCAUUUGUCCCCAUGUCUGUGUGUCCUCCUGUCCCCGUAUCCCAGUGUCCGUGUGUCUCAUGUCUGUGUGUCCCCACAUCCCUUUGUCCCCGUGUCCCUGUGUCCCAUGUCCAUUUGUCCCCGUGUCCGUGUGUCCCAUGUCCGUGUGUCCCCACGUCCCUUUGUCCCCGUGUCCCCGUGUCCCACGUCCGUGUGUCCCAUGUCCGUGUGUCCCUGUGUCCAUGUGUCCCCAUGUCCGUGUGUCCCUGUAUCCCCUGUCCACGUGUCCCCAUGUCCAUGUGUCCCGUGUCCGUGUGUCCCAUGUCCGUGUGUCCCAUGUCCAUGUGUCCCAUGUCCGUGUGUCCCACGUCCGUGUGUCCUGUGUCCGUGUGUCCCAUGUCCGUGUGUCCCGUGUCCAUGUGUCCCAUGUCCGUGUGUCCCACGUCCGUGUGUCCCCCCCUCCCACGCCGCCCACCCCUCACACAGCACAGCUCCGACCCCACAUUUAUUCACCCUCACCCCACAGAUGGGGGCCGACCCCACAAACGGCCCUAAGGAGGGCUGGGGGGCUUUGGG